AACGAACGCUGGCGGCAUGCCUAACACAUGCAAGUCGAACGAGACCUUCGGGUCUAGUGGCGCACGGGUGCGUAACGCGUGGGAACCUGCCCUUAGGUUCGGAAUAACUCCCCGAAAGGGGUGCUAAUACCGGAUAAUGUCUUCGGACCAAAGAUUUAUCGCCUUUGGAUGGGGCCGCGUUGGAUUAGCUAGUUGGUAGGGUAAAAGCCUACCAAGGCGACGAUCCAUAGCUGGUCUGAGAGGAUGCUCAGCCACACUGGGACUGAGACACGGCCCAGACUCCUACGGGAGGCAGCAGUGGGGAAUAUUGGACAAUGGGCGAAAGCCUGAUCCAGCAAUGCCGCGGGAGUGAUGAAGGCCUUAGGGUUGUAAAGCUCUUUUACCCGGGAUGAUAAUGACGGUACCGGGAGAAUAAGCUCCGGCUAACUCCGUG
RNAcentral lists this ribosomal RNA (433 nucleotides) under uncultured bacterium. RNAcentral's name for it is "partial 16S ribosomal RNA". It matches the Rfam family "Bacterial small subunit ribosomal RNA", at positions 29 to 507 of the family's 1533-position model. The record is from RNAcentral.